Cercocebus atys (sooty mangabey) is the source of this 2348-nucleotide RNA transcript. RefSeq lists it as uncharacterized. The transcript has a single exon. Lineage: Eukaryota; Metazoa; Chordata; Mammalia; Primates; Cercopithecidae. The record is from RefSeq and is a predicted model, not a curated record.
CCGGGCCGCUCCGCUAGGUGCUGCUGCCGCGGCCGCCAGGGAGGGAGGCGCCGGAGGGCGGGCCCCACGCGGUGCUAGGGUUCGGUCUGGACUGGCGGUGGUGGGUCCGGACCGGCGGUGCCGGGUUCUGUCCCGACCAACGGUGCUAGGUUCGGUUCGGAUGCGCGCUGCUGGAUCUAAAUGGGCGGUGCUGGGUCCGACGGAAGGUGCUGUGUUCAGUCCGGACGCGCGGUGCUGUGUCUGGACGGGCGGUGCUGGAUCCAACUGGGCGUUGCUGGAUCUGCACUGGCGGUGAUGGGUCCGAUGGGCGGUGCUACAUUGGGUUCGGACGGGCGAUGCUGGGUCCGAUAGGCGGUGCUGAGUUCGGUCCGGACGGGCGGGGACGGGCGGUGCUGGGUCCAAAUGGGUGGUGAUGGAUCUGGACGGGCGGUGCUGGGUCCGAUGGGCGGUGCUGGGUCCGAUGGGCGGUGCUAGGUUCGGUUCGGAUGGGUGGUGCUGGGUCUAAAUGGGCGGCGCCGGGUCCGAUGGGCGGUGCUGGGUUCCGUCCGGACUGGCGGGUCUGGGUCUGGACGGGCGGUGCUGGGUCCGAACAGGCGAUGGGUCCGAUGGACUGUGUUAGAUUCGGUUCGGACUGGCAGUGCAGAGUCUAAAUGGGCGGCGCUGGGUCCGAUGGGCGGUACUGGGUUCGGUCCGGACGGGCGGGUCUGGGUCUGGACGUGUGGUGCUGUAUCCAAGUGGGCGGUGCUGGUUCCGGACUGGCUGUGCUAGGUUAGGUCCCGACGGGUGGUGCAGGGUCUAAAUGGGCGGUGCUGGGCACAGCAGGGGACAGGUGGGCGUGGCGGCACAGGUACGGAGCGCAGUGCGGGUGCGGCGCCCUCCGAAGGGCCUUGCGCUCCCCGCGCUCGCUGCUCCUCCAACCUGCGCAUUGCCCCGGGGCUGCUGCGUGUUUCUUCCAGGGUGAUUCCUUUCUGCUGGGGUCACUUCGAAGCUGACCUUUUCAAGCUGUUUUCUUCCGAGGAGGAUACCUUAUUAGGCUUUGUGUGCAUUUCAAGUGUCAUGUUUUUCGGACCGCGCCCCGCUGCUCCCGGGGUGUUCGAGCCCCCACACUGCCGUGCGGUGUUCCUCUCGCUGAGUGAGGUUGGAGGUUCCCACUGCCUUUGUGUGUCUCCUUAGAAAACGCCUCUUCUCUCAGACACAUUGUUAUCUGCAAAUCCUUCGCAGAUGUAGAGAACGGACUGCAGAGUUAAUAAACGUCGAAGGGAAGCUUUGAUGCGCCCCUGUUGGCCCUGAGAGAUGCCGCGUGAGCGUCAUUUUAAAUCCUGUACCUGUACGUGGACGUGGAAACCUGAAAUUAAUUUCAGUAGCAAGCGUUGUGAAUUGUAGGGCUUUUUUUUAUUAGGUGUCUUUUUUGUAACUGCUCCUCCCCUCCCCCACCCUUUGUUUUGGCUGCGGAACCCAUCCCAGCAGUCUCCCCAUGCAGUAUUCAGUCAGGCGAAGUUGCGUUCUUACAUUGUCUGUGAUGUGUAACAAAAAAGCGUUUAUCUUUGAAACACUAAGGCAAGUAAUGAGAAGAGUGAACUAUAUUUGACAAAGCCUUUUUAUUUUUGUCAUUACUUUUUUUUCCAGUGUGGAAAUAAUUUUUCUCUCCACCAACUGGAUUUUCUCUUUUGUAGACAAUUAGAGAAUUCUGUCAUCCUCACUGGGUUCUGUCUUUUCUACUGCACUUGUCCAGUACAGCUACAUAAGGAGGCUUCUCAGCAGAGGAGCCUGGGGUGUUGAACCAGUGCCAUGGGGGAAUGAAUUAUGCAAUAGAUCGCUAGUCUCCUUUCUUAAAAUUAAAGUGUGGUACGUGCAGAAAAGUAUCUGUGUCUAAAUGGCAUCUUCAUGUUGUAGCACUCGGUUUCUUUAUGCCUUUCAGUCCCUGUGCUUCUUGAUAGACUCGAGUUUUUACUGUGUGAGCAUCCCCGUGCCCGCACAGCGAAGGCCUCUCACUGGGUUCUACACGUGCUGCACAGAUCCCUGGCACAGCCUUAACUGAACCUCAACUGCAGGAGCUUCAUUCCCGAGGAUGCUGUUACCAAGAGUGACUUGCCUCUUGAAGAAUGAGUUUGCAAAGCUGGCAGUUAGAUUGCUGAUGUCCAAAGUAAGUAUGUGUAGCAUCGCUAAAGAGAAAAUUCAGGAUUCCUGGAAAACAGUUAUGGGCUCUCUGCGGUGUUAUUUUUGUAAUAAAAAACAUGUAGCGUAUGUGAAAUACCUACUGAGUGAUGCAGGACACAUAGAAGGCUCUAAAUUAAUGUGAAUUAUUCUCGUUUUUCUGACUGUCAUUAAAAGUCCCCAUUUGUAUUAUG